UGGGGAAUUUUGGACAAUGGGCGCAAGCCUGAUCCAGCCAUGCCGCGUGCAGGAUGAAGGCCUUCGGGUUGUAAACUGCUUUUGUACGGAACGAAAAGACUCCUUCUAAUAAAGGGGGUCCAUGACGGUACCGUAAGAAUAAGCACCGGCUAACUACGUGCCAGCAGCCGCGGUAAUACGUAGGGUGCGAGCGUUAAUCGGAAUUACUGGGCGUAAAGCGUGCGCAGGCGGUUAUAUAAGACAGAUGUGAAAUCCCCGGGCUCAACCUGGGAACUGCAUUUGUGACUGUAUAGCUAGAGUACGGUAGAGGGGGAUGGAAUUCCGCGUGUAGCAGUGAAAUGCGUAGAUAUGCGGAGGAACACCGAUGGCGAAGGCAAUCCCCUGGACCUGUACUGACGCUCAUGCACGAAAGCGUGGGGAGCAAACA
Molecule: ribosomal RNA, 427 nt
Filed under: uncultured Acidovorax sp.
Lineage: Bacteria; Pseudomonadati; Pseudomonadota; Betaproteobacteria; Burkholderiales; Comamonadaceae
Also listed under: 1 other name
Description: bacterial SSU rRNA
Rfam family: Bacterial small subunit ribosomal RNA
Source: RNAcentral